RNAcentral lists this ribosomal RNA (403 nucleotides) under uncultured bacterium. RNAcentral's name for it is "partial 16S ribosomal RNA". It matches the Rfam family "Bacterial small subunit ribosomal RNA", at positions 30 to 526 of the family's 1533-position model. The record is from RNAcentral.
AUUGAACGCUGGCGGCAGGCCUAACACAUGCAAGUCGAGCGAGCGGCGGACGGGUGAGUAAUGUAUGGGGACUGCCCGAUAGAGGAGGAUAACUACUGGAAACGGUGGCUAAUACCGCAUACUAUCGGAUAACCCAUAUGGGAUUAGCUAGUAGGUGGGGUAAAGGCUCACCUAGGCGAAGAUGUCUAGCUGGUCUGAGAGGGUGAUCAGCCAAACUGGGAUUGAGACACGGCACAGACUCCUGCGGAGGCAGCAGUGGGGAAUAUUGCGAAAUGGGGGAAAGGCUGAUGCAGCCAUGCCGCGUGUAUGAAGAAGGCUUUAGGGUUGUAAAGUACUGUCAGCGGGGAGGCGUUACCCACAGAAGAAGCACCGGCUAACUCCGUGCCAGCAGCAGCGGUAAUAC